RNAcentral lists this ribosomal RNA (607 nucleotides) under uncultured bacterium. RNAcentral's name for it is "bacterial SSU rRNA". It matches the Rfam family "Bacterial small subunit ribosomal RNA", at positions 331 to 929 of the family's 1533-position model. The record is from RNAcentral.
CCAGACUCCUACGGGAGGCAGCAGUAGGGAAUCUUCGGCAAUGGGGGCAACCCUGACCGAGCAACGCCGCGUGAGUGAAGAAGGUUUUCGGAUCGUAAAGCUCUGUUGUAAGAGAAGAGCGAGUGUGAGAGUGGAAAGUUCACACUGUGACGGUAACUUACCAGAAAGGGACGGCUAACUACGUGCCAGCAGCCGCGGUAAUACGUAGGUCCCGAGCGUUAUCCGGAUUUAUUGGGCGUAAAGCGAGCGCAGGCGGUUAGAUAAGUCUGAAGUUAAAGGCUGUGGCUUAACCAUAGUACGCUUUGGAAACUGUUUAACUUGAGUGCAGAAGGGGAGAGUGGAAUUCCAUGUGUAGCGGUGAAAUGCGUAGAUAUAUGGAGGAACACCGGUGGCGAAAGCGGCUCUCUGGUCUGUAACUGACGCUGAGGCUCGAAAGCGUGGGGAGCAAACAGGAUUAGAUACCCUGGUAGUCCACGCCGUAAACGAUGAGUGCUAGGUGUUGGGUCCUUUCCGGGACUCAGUGCCGCAGCUAACGCAUUAAGCACUCCGCCUGGGGAGUACGACCGCAAGGUUGAAACUCAAAGGAAUUGACGGGGGCCCGCACAAG